RNAcentral lists this ribosomal RNA (253 nucleotides) under uncultured bacterium. RNAcentral's name for it is "partial 16S ribosomal RNA". It matches the Rfam family "Bacterial small subunit ribosomal RNA", at positions 524 to 776 of the family's 1533-position model. The record is from RNAcentral.
UACGAAGGGGGCUAGCGUUGUUCGGAAUCACUGGGCGUAAAGCGCACGUAGGCGGAUCUUUAAGUCAGAGGUGAAAUCCCAAGGCUCAACCUUGGAACUGCCUUUGAUACUGGGGAUCUUGAGUCCGGGAGAGGUGAGUGGAACUGCGAGUGUAGAGGUGAAAUUCGUAGAUAUUCGCAAGAACACCAGUGGCGAAGGCGGCUCACUGGACUGGUAUUGACGCUGAGGUGCGAAAGCGUGGGGAGCAAACAGG